This is a non-coding RNA of Anas platyrhynchos (mallard), 2378 nucleotides long. The record is from RefSeq and is a predicted model, not a curated record. NCBI's taxonomy places the organism in Eukaryota, Metazoa, Chordata, Aves, Anseriformes, Anatidae.
CCCACAGGCCAGCACAGCCUUCUGCAUUUAUUUCUAUCAGUGUAUCAGCCAGCUGACCUAGGAGUUGAAAGCUGCUGCCCAUCUGCAGAGAACAGCGUGUCCUCAGCAGCCACCAAGGGGACGUGGAGCUCCUGGGGGAGAUAUGCAGGUUGCAAGGUGCCUGAGACUGCUGGCUUGUAGGGCACGGAGCACAACGGGACAAGUCGAACCUGGCUGUCAAGCAGAGACGUGUAUUGGUGCUUGUCCACAACAGCUGAGGGAUCCAGGCGCAGAGCCAGCAGUGAAAAUGUGAGGCCUGACGACGUGUGAGUGAACUGUGUCAGGUCAGGAAGAAGAGAUGUUUCCUUCUAGACUGGACUAAAAUGCAUUAAAAGGAGAAAUGAGUCUUUGAAAGCGUGGCCCAGGCAGAUUCCCCCAGUGUGGCAGGAAAAACCCACUGAAAAACUUCUGAUUUACCACUUUUGGCAGCAAUUAGAGGCAGAAUGUAAAACACGGGUGAUCCUAAGCAGAAUUAGACAGCGGGGUGCUGGCAGCACAGUGCCGCCCAUGCUGGCCAGCGUGGGGUCCUCCCUGCGACCCUACAACAAAGCAACAGCAGGAAGCGGUGUGGUGCUGGCCGUGGCCCUGAUUGGCAACAAAAACACAGAAGCCUUUUUAAUAUUGCAAAGACAGAAAUUAAAUCCUCCUCUUACGCAAUGCUUGCCCUUCCUCAGCAGGGAUCAAAUCAAUAUGGGACCGUGCAAAGUCAAUGGUUUAUUUCAAGGGGUUUUGAAUUGGGCUUUGUAGCAAAGAAGCACCAGCCUUGUUUCAAGCUCCAUGAAGAUGCAUCAGUGUUUCCAUUCCAUGUCUAUUUGUAAGACAGAAACGUGACUUUGUUCCUCUUUAGUCCUUAAUGUUACACUAUUUUAAAAUAAAGUCUGUCGGAAAAAGGAAUCAAGCCUAAGGCUGGAAUUAUCCCUAGUGAAGCUUGGGGACCGCACUUGUUAGAAAGUGAGGAUGACCUUCAGGUGAGUUAAGAAUGCUCUGGUAGCACCAACUUUGCAUUUCCUCAUGCUUUCUUCUGGCUUACCUGAGUACUUUAGUAUUACUUCAGUGGUUGCAGUUUAAGCACACCCAAAGGUGCACACGUGUACACAUAACACAGCUCCCAAACAGCUCCGUGUUAGCAGUUCACUGCAUGCCUUCCUGGAGGACCUCCACAGCAGUAGAAGCAGAACUUGCACAUUAUUUCUGGAGAAAAGCGACAAUAGCAGGCCUGCUUACAUAACUGAUUUACUCCAACAGAAUUGCUUUCUGCCUUUAAUCUGCUCAGCAGUUUAUCUUUGCUGUCGUGAUCGGUUGAGCUUUCUUUAAACCGUUAUGGAUUAGCAUUCUGCUAUAACACGUUAAAAGCUUAGCUUUGUUUAUUUUUGUCGGGAAUGGGGGAGGGAUAUCAGGUUCAAAUGUUCAGGCAGCAGUUUGUGAACAGUUACUUUUCCUACACCAAAUUCAGGUACCAAAUGCAAAGCACAGCCAAAUAGAGGCUGGAACAAAAAUAUUUGUGAAUUCAUUAAAAAGAAAGAAACAAGGAACUUCAUAUAUUUGCAUAAUUAUUUUACUCCAUGAAUAUAAAAUGUAAUCCAGCAUUCAAAAAGUUCAUCACACCCACCAGCCUUAUAUGGAAGACUGAAGAGUAAAUGGAAGAGUAAAAGUCUAAAACCUUACUAAAUAAAGCUGGUUGAUGAUUUUACUAAGUUUGCAUUAUUGUUGCAAUUUGGAGACAGAAAUCCUGCCGAAAGCAACACUUUUGUCAUUCAGCCGCAGGAAUAUAACACACCAUAAUGCACAAAUAACACCAAGCAAACUGAACCUCAGCCACACUGCUUACAAAAAGCUGUUUGGGUAACAUUAACCAGCCAUUCAGUGAAUUUUCACAGUGGACUCAUCAACAAUGACAGCUGAUGAUCUAUUAGAAGAUUACAGUGCAAAUCCAGGUCCAAAUUUCUACUACAAAUCGAUCACAAUCUACUAUUUUAAUCCAAAUCCAACAAUUAGCACGCUUAUUUGACCUCUGUGUAACGGAAAUGAUUUGCAGAUGCCAGAACGGAGUAAGAGGCUGUGCUCCUGAGCGCUGCCAAUAACCCUCUGUGCAGCUGAACUCUGCUCCAAGGAAACACUGAUUCUGUGAUCAGCCAUGCUGGCAAACACAUGACCUUGCAACUUUCAUAUCUAAAACGAAGCAAGGAGGCACUUUCACAUUCCUAAGAAAAAUGCACACACUAGUUAGUGAAAGUGUGUUAAAGAGAAGAUCUUUUUUUUUUAAAAAAGUAUCUAGUGGUGCUCAGAAAAAAUAAAAACAUAAAACGAGGAAAGUAAUUCAAUAAAGAGGAGGAAAAAAA